RNAcentral lists this non-coding RNA (31 nucleotides) under Mus musculus (house mouse). Lineage: Eukaryota; Metazoa; Chordata; Mammalia; Rodentia; Muridae. The record is from RNAcentral.
UCAAGGGACAAAACCCAAAUGCAACCUUUGG